Molecule: transfer RNA, 61 nt
Filed under: Grandidierella fasciata
Lineage: Eukaryota; Metazoa; Arthropoda; Malacostraca; Amphipoda; Corophiidae
Description: tRNA-Leu
Source: RNAcentral
UUUAGUUUGGCAGAUUAAUGUAUUAGAUUUAGGUUCUAAAAAUGAUAUUUAUCAACUAAAA